GCCCUCGUGGUGAAAUUGGUAGACACGCAAGCUUGAGGUGCUUGUGCUGAAAGGCAUCGCGGUUCGAGUCCGCGCGAGGGCA
This 82-nucleotide transfer RNA is filed under the name Gemmatimonadaceae bacterium. RNAcentral's name for it is "tRNA-Leu". It matches the Rfam family "tRNA". From Rfam's summary of the family: Transfer RNA (tRNA) molecules are approximately 80 nucleotides in length. Their secondary structure includes four short double-helical elements and three loops (D, anti-codon, and T loops). The record is from RNAcentral. RNAcentral also lists the same sequence under 2 other names. Lineage: Bacteria; Pseudomonadati; Gemmatimonadota; Gemmatimonadia; Gemmatimonadales; Gemmatimonadaceae.